RNAcentral lists this ribosomal RNA (460 nucleotides) under uncultured bacterium. RNAcentral describes it as "partial 16S ribosomal RNA". It matches the Rfam family "Bacterial small subunit ribosomal RNA", at positions 338 to 795 of the family's 1533-position model. The record is from RNAcentral.
CCUACGGGAGGCAGCAGUGAGGAAUAUUGGUCAAUGGUCGGGAGACUGAACCAGCCAAGCCGCGUGAGGGAUGAAGGUACAGAGUAUCGUAAACCUCUUUUGUCAGGGAACAAAGGCGGGGACGCGUACCCGGUUGAGUGUACCUGAAGAAAAAGCAUCGGCUAACUCCGUGCCAGCAGCCGCGGUAAUACGGAGGAUGCGAGCGUUAUCCGGAUUUAUUGGGUUUAAAGGGUGCGCAGGCGGGCUCUUAAGUCAGCGGUCAAAGUCCGGGGCUCAACCGCGGGCUCGCCGUUGAAACUGGCAGUCUCGAGUUGGGGAGAGGUAUGCGGAAUGCGCGGUGUAGCGGUGAAAUGCAUAGAUAUCGCGCAGAACUCCGAUUGCGAAGGCAGCAUGCCGGCUCCUCACUGACGCUGAGGCACGAAAGCGUGGGUAUCGAACAGGAUUAGAUACCCCGGUAGUC